RNAcentral lists this long non-coding RNA (667 nucleotides) under Gossypium barbadense (sea-island cotton). Its description in RNAcentral is "long non-coding RNA (GBAR_LNC014313)". The record is from RNAcentral. Lineage: Eukaryota; Viridiplantae; Streptophyta; Magnoliopsida; Malvales; Malvaceae.
CUAGAUAGUGAGGUACUUAUAUGGCUUGAUUCUGACCAACUGGGGCUCAUUCUGAAGGGGAAUUUGAUGGUCCUACAUUCUUUUAGGAGGUAAUCCUUUAGGAAAAUGGAAAACAUCACCAAAUUCAUUAAGAAUUAAAUCAUGAUGCUGAGGGAAAAUUUGGGGUGGCAGUGUCAAAGCUGUCAGAGCUGAACUAGUGAACAUUAUUGGACAGGGUCCAUGUUUCGGCAUACUAAGGCAUCUAGACAACUGUGGACCAAUCAAAAUACAGAGACUCCUAAGAAGAAUACCCUGAAGAGUACAAGGGUUGCCUCAAUGGUCAAAUUGCAUAACCAAACAAGAUAAAUUCCAAAACCAAGGGAUAACAACCACUGUACACCAAGAACCAAAUCACAUCAUUUUACAGGUAGAACCAUAAAGUCAGUACAGAAUAUCCACCCUUGUGAUUCCCAAGUCACAUAUUGACAUAAGCCUAGGGUUGACAGUUGAGCUCCAUUGGCAACCAUCACCUUUAAAUGACAAGAGGAAUUCACUGAAAGGUUCAAUCAUUUAAGAAACCUGAAAUCCACAAAAUUGUGUGUACUGCAAGAGUCCACCAGAAUGAUAACUUCUACUUGGUCGAUCUUAGUAGAAAACCUCAUAGUGUUGUGACCCUAUGAUCCAUUCA